RNAcentral lists this ribosomal RNA (440 nucleotides) under uncultured bacterium. Its description in RNAcentral is "partial 16S ribosomal RNA". It matches the Rfam family "Bacterial small subunit ribosomal RNA", at positions 338 to 795 of the family's 1533-position model. The record is from RNAcentral.
CCUACGGGAGGCAGCAGUGGGGGAUAUUGCACAAUGGGGGGAACCCUGAUGCAGCGACGCCGCGUGGGUGAAGAAGCGCCUCGGCGCGUAAAGCCCUGUCAGCAGGGAAGAAAAUGACGGUACCUGAAGAAGAAGCCCCGGCUAACUACGUGCCAGCAGCCGCGGUAAUACGUAGGGGGCAAGCGUUAUCCGGAUGUACUGGGUGUAAAGGGGGCGCAGACGGCGAUGCAAGCCAGGAGUGAAAGACCGGGGCCCACCCCUGGGACUGCUCUUGGAAAUGCGUGGCUGGGGUGUAGGAGGGGCAGGCGGAAUUCCUGGUGGAGCGGUGAAAGGCGUAGAUAUCAGGAGGAACACCGGUGGCGAGGGCGGCCUGCUGGACUGCAACUGACGUUGAGGCCCGAAAGCGUGGGGAGCAAACAGGAUUAGAUACCCGUGUAGUC